AGCGGAAAAAGGGACUU
This 17-nucleotide transfer RNA is filed under the name Oedipodiella australis. Its description in RNAcentral is "partial tRNA-Gly". Lineage: Eukaryota; Viridiplantae; Streptophyta; Bryopsida; Gigaspermales; Gigaspermaceae. The record is from RNAcentral.